Molecule: ribosomal RNA, 350 nt
Filed under: uncultured Sphingobacteriales bacterium
Lineage: Bacteria; Pseudomonadati; Bacteroidota; Sphingobacteriia; Sphingobacteriales
Description: bacterial SSU rRNA
Rfam family: Bacterial small subunit ribosomal RNA
Source: RNAcentral
GCAAGGUGCUGCAUGGUUGUCGUCAGCUCGUGCCGUGAGGUGUCGGGUUAAGUCCCAUAACGAGCGCAACCCUUAUUGUUAGUUGCCAGCUGGUAAAGCAGGGGACUCUAGCGAAACUGCCACCGUAAGGUGAGAGGAAGGUGGGGAUGACGUCAAAUCAGCACGGCCCUUAUGUCCAGGGCUGCACACGUGUUACAAUGGCCGGCACAGAGGGCAGCUACCUGGUGACAGGAUGCUAAUCUCGAAAACCGGUCUCAGUUCGGAUCGAAGUCUGCAACUCGACUUCGUGAAGCUGGAUUCGCUAGUAAUCGCGCAUCAGCCAUGGCGCGGUGAAUACGUUCCCGGGCCUU